Molecule: ribosomal RNA, 587 nt
Filed under: uncultured bacterium
Lineage: Bacteria
Description: bacterial SSU rRNA
Rfam family: Bacterial small subunit ribosomal RNA
Source: RNAcentral
UCCUACGGGAGGCAGCAGUGGGGAAUAUUGCACAAUGGGGGAAACCCUGAUGCAGCCAUGCCGCGUGUGUGAAGAAGGCCUUCGGGUUGUAAAGCACUUUCAGUUGUGAGGAAGAUUUUGUAGUUAAUAGCUUCAAGAUUUGACGUUAGCAACAGAAGAAGCACCGGCUAACUCCGUGCCAGCAGCCGCGGUAAUACGGAGGGUGCGAGCGUUAAUCGGAAUUACUGGGCGUAAAGCGCAUGCAGGCGGUUAGUUAAGCAAGAUGUGAAAGCCCGGGGCUUAACCUCGGAACAGCAUUUUGAACUGGCUAACUAGAGUCUUGUAGAGGGGGGUAGAAUUUCAGGUGUAGCGGUGAAAUGCGUAGAGAUCUGAAGGAAUACCGGUGGCGAAGGCGGCCCCCUGGACAAAGACUGACGCUCAGAUGCGAAAGCGUGGGGAGCAAACAGGAUUAGAUACCCUGGUAGUCCACGCCGUAAACGAUGUCUACUUGGAGGUUGUGGCCUUGAGCCGUGGCUUUCGGAGCUAACGCGUUAAGUAGACCGCCUGGGGAGUACGGUCGCAAGAUUAAAACUCAAAUGAAUUGACGG